CCUACGGGAGGCAGCAGUGGGGAAUAUUGCACAAUGGGGGAAACUCUGAUGCAGCGACGCCGCGUGAGUGAAGAAGUAUUUCGGUAUGUAAAGCUCUAUCAGCAGGGAAGAAAAUGAUGGUAUCUGAUUAAGAAGCCCCGGCUAACUACGUGCCAGCAGCCGCGGUAAUACGUAGGGGGCAAGAGUUAUCCGGAUUUACUGGGUGGAAAGGGAGCGUAGACGGCAGCACAAGUCUGGAGUGAAAUGCCGGGGCUUAACCCCGGAACUGCUUUGGAAACUGUGCAACUAGAGUGCAGGAGAGGUAAGUGGAAUUACUAGUGUAGCGGUGGAAUGCGUAGAUAUUAGGAGGAACACCAGUGGCGAAGGCGACUUACUGGACUGUAACUGACGUUGAGGCUCGAAAGCGUGGGGAGCAAACAGGAUUAGAUACCCCUGUAGUC
This 440-nucleotide ribosomal RNA is filed under the name uncultured bacterium. Its description in RNAcentral is "partial 16S ribosomal RNA". It matches the Rfam family "Bacterial small subunit ribosomal RNA", at positions 338 to 795 of the family's 1533-position model. The record is from RNAcentral.